AGUAAAUAGAUACCCUGGUAGUCCACGCCGUAAACGAUGUCGACUUGGAGGUUGUGCCCUUGAGGCGUGGCUUCCGGAGCUAAACGCGUUAAGUCGACCGCCUGGGGAGUACGGCCGCAAGGUUAAAACUCAAAUGAAUUGACGGGGGCCCGCACAAGCGGUGGAGCAUGUGGUUUAAUUCGAUGCAACGCGAAGAACCUUACCUACUCUUGACAUCCAGAGAACUUAGCAGAGAUGCUUUGGUGCCUUCGGGAACUCUGAGACAGGUGCUGCAUGGCUGUCGUCAGCUCGUGUUGUGAAAUGUUGGGUUAAGUCCCGCAACGAGCGCAACCCUUAUCCUUUGUUGCCAGCGGUUAGGCCGGGAACUCAAAGGAGACUGCCAGUGAUAAACUGGAGGAAGGUGGGGAUGACGUCAAGUCAUCAUGGCCCUUACGAGUAGGGCUACACACGUGCUACAAUGGCGCAUACAAAGAGAAGCGACCUCGCGAGAGCAAGCGGACCUCAUAAAGUGCGUCGUAGUCCGG
RNAcentral lists this ribosomal RNA (524 nucleotides) under uncultured bacterium. Its description in RNAcentral is "bacterial SSU rRNA". It matches the Rfam family "Bacterial small subunit ribosomal RNA", at positions 774 to 1296 of the family's 1533-position model. The record is from RNAcentral.